AAGUCCCGCAACGGGGGCAACCCUUGUUUUUAGUUGCCAUCAUUCAGUUGGGCACUUUAGCAAGACUGCCGGGGACAAACCGGAGGAAGGUGGGGAGGACGUCAAAUCAUCAUCCCCCUUAUGACCUGGGCUACACACGUGCUACAAUGGGAAGUACAACGAGUUGGGAAGUGGGGAGGGUAAGCUAAUCUCUUAAAGCUUCUCUCAGUUCGGAUUGCAGGCUGCAAUUCGCCUGCAUGAAGCCGGAAUCGCUAGUAAUCGCGGAUCAGCACGCCGCGGUGAAUACGUUCCCGGGCCUUGUACACACCGCCCGUCACACCACGAGAGUUUGUAACACCCGAAGUCGGUGAGGUAACCUUUUGGAGCCAGCCGCCUAAGGUGGGAUAGAUGAUUGGGGUGAAGUCG
RNAcentral lists this ribosomal RNA (405 nucleotides) under Enterococcus faecium. Its description in RNAcentral is "bacterial SSU rRNA". It matches the Rfam family "Bacterial small subunit ribosomal RNA", at positions 1082 to 1488 of the family's 1533-position model. The record is from RNAcentral. Lineage: Bacteria; Bacillati; Bacillota; Bacilli; Lactobacillales; Enterococcaceae.